UUAGACAGCUGGCGGCAGGCCUAACACAUGCAAGUCGAGCGGCAGCGGGAAAGUAGCUUGCUACUUUUGCCGGCGAGCGGCGGACGGGUGAGUAAUGCCUGGGGAUCUGCCCAGUCGAGGGGGAUAACAGUUGGAAACGACUGCUAAUACCGCAUACGCCCUACGGGGGAAAGGAGGGGACCUUCGGGCCUUUCGCGAUUGGAUGAACCCAGGUGGGAUUAGCUAGUUGGUGGGGUAAUGGCUCACCAAGGCGACGAUCCCUAGCUGGUCUGAGAGGAUGAUCAGCCACACUGGAACUGAGGCACGGUCCAGACUCCUACGGGAGGCAGCAGUGGGGAAUAUUGCACAAUGGGGGAAACCCUGAUGCAGCCAUGCCGCGUGUGUGAAGAAGGCCUUCGGGUUGUAAAGCACUUUCAGCGAGGAGGAAAGGUGGUUGGCUAAUACCCAAUCGCUGUGACGUUACUCGCAGAAGAAGCACCGGCUAACUCCGUGCCAGCAGCCGCGGUAAUACGGAGGGUGCAAGCGUUAAUCGGAAUUACUGGGCGUAAAGCGCACGCAGGCGGUUGGAUAAGUUAGAUGUGAAAGCCCCGGGCUCAACCUGGGAAUUGCAUUUAAAACUGUCCAGCUAGAGUCUUGUAGAGGGGGGUAGAAUUCCAGGUGUAGCGGUGAAAUGCGUAGAGAUCUGGAGGAAUACCGGUGGCGAAGGCGGCCCCCU
This 715-nucleotide ribosomal RNA is filed under the name uncultured earthworm intestine bacterium. Its description in RNAcentral is "bacterial SSU rRNA". It matches the Rfam family "Bacterial small subunit ribosomal RNA", at positions 29 to 730 of the family's 1533-position model. The record is from RNAcentral.